Molecule: ribosomal RNA, 468 nt
Filed under: uncultured bacterium
Lineage: Bacteria
Description: partial 16S ribosomal RNA
Rfam family: Bacterial small subunit ribosomal RNA
Source: RNAcentral
GACGAACGCUGGCGGCGUGCUUAACACAUGCAAGUCGAACGGAAAGGCCCUGCUUUUGUGGGGUGCUCGAGUGGCGAACGGGUGAGUAACACGUGAGUAACCUGCCCUUGACUUUGGGAUAACUUCAGGAAACUGGGGCUAUUACCGGAUAGGAGCUCCUGCUGCAUGGUGGGGGUUGGAAAGUUUCGGCGGUUGGGGAUGGACUCGCGGCUUAUCAGCUUGUUGGUGGGGUAGUGGCUUACCAAGGCUUUGACGGGUAGCCGGCCUGAGAGGGUGACCGGCCACAUUGGGACUGAGAUACGGCCCAGACUCCUACGGGAGGCAGCAGUGGGGAAUAUUGCACAAUGGGCUGAAGCCUGAUGCAGCAACGCCGCGUGCGGUAUGACGGCCUUCGGGUUGUAAACCGCUGUCGCCUGUGACGAAGCGUGAGUGACGGUAAUGGGUAAAGAAGCACCGGCUAACUACGUG